This is a long non-coding RNA of Pseudoliparis swirei, 850 nucleotides long. RefSeq lists it as uncharacterized. The record is from RefSeq and is a predicted model, not a curated record. Lineage: Eukaryota; Metazoa; Chordata; Actinopteri; Perciformes; Liparidae. The transcript has 2 exons.
GUCACUAUAUCAUCAAAAUGCACCGAACUUUAAACAUGCACAGUGAUUUCUUUUUGAGGGAAAAAAUCAUUUGGAUGUUUUGAUUGAUAGUUGAAUGGGUCUUAUCGGUGGAAAUUAAAUGUGUUUUUCUUUUACAAUUAAAACAUAAGAAAACUUGGAUUCUGAUUGUGUGUGCUUAUGGUUAUGAUAUCUGAGAUCUAAAAGGAGGUAAGCCACUGACUAACGCACAUUGUGCCAGUUUCCAUAUCCACUGUGCGUGUGACAGCGGCUAACCUGGUUUUGGGAACACUUCUCAUGUGUGGCUCGUCCAAGGCCAGCCACAGCCGGACCAGACAAACGCCUCCAUCUAUAAGCAGUCCCCCUUGACCAUGUCCCAUGCACUUUGCUGGGACAGGCCAGCUCAACAUGACUGCCCGCCCAGCAGCAGUCUCCAUGUGUAGUGUAGCCUACUUCCUCCUAUAUGUUCACAUCCUGUAUCCUUAUGAAGGGCCAGUGGCGUUGCAGUGACGCCUAUCUAUUGGUGAGUGUUUCUUUUUCAGCUCUGUGGUUUGACAUGAUAAUCAUCGGCCAUACUGGUUCCCAUUUUGAGGUCAGGGGUUUCUUGAAGUGGUUGCUUGGGGGCCCCACAGCCAAUAUGAGCGUUAUACUAUAAAAACACAUAACUUAGUUAUAUAGUAAUGUGUCCACCCCUUUACAGUAGAAUAAGCUGUUUUCUAGUUUGUAAGUGUGCCGCCUGUAAUGCAAUCCAAGUCAAUUGUAUCCAAACAUUCUGUACCAUGUGUCUUUGUAAUAUGUAUCCCUCAAGUGAAAGUAAAGUUUAUUCUCAAAUAAAUGUUGGCAUCAUUUUGUC